ACUGUUAAAUGAAGUCGUUGUUUUUGUUUAACGUCCAGAAAAAAAACAUUCUCGUAGCCUAAAAAUAUUCUGAACGAAAGACACGUGAACUACUUUGAAGAUAUUUUUGGUGAACCUCUGGACUUUGAGUUGGGUAGCCUACCUUGCUGUCUCAGGGAAUUGGAACGACACGAGGAUACUCCUUGGCAGCCAGUCUUUGUAUGGAGUCCACCGUGAUCUACUGUAUAGAGCCCAUUCAAGAUGUAGGAGCCUUUUUUUUCUUCAAACUGUGGGUCCAGUGACUACUAGGGGGUCUCUGCAAACGUUCAAUGAGGACCAUUAGACUUCUUGAGAAGGAUUGGCUCAGGGAAGGAUUGACUGCAACCAUCUCACCCCAACCCCUGGGUGCAUCAGCAUUGGAUAUUAUGGGUUAAACCUCCUGUCUAUUGUUUAGGGUCACUAAUGGUUAAAGAAGUGGACUUGUGUUCAGAUGGAUGAAGAUUCAGUCUCAGUACUAGCAGGGAUUGUACAUGUUGGGAUUGAAUAACCAGCACUCUCAACACACUCUAUACCAGUGGUGGGCAAACUUUUUAGACCUGAGGACCACAUUAAGUUUU
Danio aesculapii is the source of this 596-nucleotide long non-coding RNA. RefSeq lists it as uncharacterized. Lineage: Eukaryota; Metazoa; Chordata; Actinopteri; Cypriniformes; Danionidae. The transcript is spliced from 4 exons. The record is from RefSeq and is a predicted model, not a curated record.